CGUAGGUGACCUGCGGAAGGAUCAUUAUCAAAGAAAACAGAAAACAACUUCAGGGAAGAGGAAGCCACAAGGCAUCCACCCCCUGUCGGGCCACCCAAUACCUGCGAAACGCCACCGUCCUAGCGGUGGCGGACGAUCCGUAACGAAAAAGGAAAAGAAACAAAAAUCAGGCACGGUGGCCCGUUUACCUUCACCAAACCCUCUGUGUACCACUUUCCACGUUGCUUCCCCGCGGACACCCCUCUGAGGUGUGUGCGGGGGAGGUCUACAGCAAACAAACACGCGCGUAACAGCAGUCAGAGGGCAAUUGAUAGAAAUGAUAAAACUUUCAACAACGGAUCUCUUGGUUCCCGCAUCGAUGAAGAACGCAGCGAAAUGCGAUAAGUAAUGUGAAUUGCAGAAUUCAGUGAAUCAUCGAAUCUUUGAACGCACAUUGCGCCCCCUGGUAUUCCGGGGGGCAUGCCUGUUCGAGUCUCAAUGAAACCUCUCCCUCAGUUCAGGUCUUCCUGCACGUGAGGGGUAUUGCUGGAUGCCCACGCCGUGAAAAGUGCCGGCACCGCCCAAAUUCACAGUCCGCGUGCCUGGGGGUAGCGACCAACGUAGUGAGAUUCAAUCUCGUUGGCGACGUGACCCCACAGAGGCAACGGGACCUUAAGCGCCAAGGCGCCAAGUCAAAACGGUUGAGCUCGGAUCAGGUAGGGAUACCCGC
RNAcentral lists this ribosomal RNA (709 nucleotides) under Hydnotrya cerebriformis. RNAcentral's name for it is "eukaryotic LSU rRNA". The stretch from base 324 to 477 matches the Rfam family "5.8S ribosomal RNA". The record is from RNAcentral. Lineage: Eukaryota; Fungi; Ascomycota; Pezizomycetes; Pezizales; Discinaceae.